Molecule: ribosomal RNA, 396 nt
Filed under: uncultured bacterium
Lineage: Bacteria
Description: bacterial SSU rRNA
Rfam family: Bacterial small subunit ribosomal RNA
Source: RNAcentral
UAGACAUGGGGGCACCCUGACCGCAAUGCCGCGUGAGUGAAGAAGGCCUUCGGGUUGUAAAGCUCUUUUGUCAGGGAAGAAACACCGGCUCUAACACAGUCCGGGAAUGACGGUACCUGAAGAAUAAGCACCGGCUAACUACGUGCCAGCAGCCGCGGUAAUACGUAGGGUGCAAGCGUUAAUCGGAAUUACUGGGCGUAAAGCGUGCGCAGGCGGUUAUACAAGACAGGCGUGAAAUCCCCGGGCUUAACCUGGGAAUGGCGCCUGUGACUGUAUAGCUAGAGUGUGUCAGAGGGGGGUAGAAUUCCACGUGUAGCAGUGAAAUGCGUAGAUAUGUGGAGGAAUACCAAUGGCGAAGGCAGCCCCCUGGGAUAACACUGACGCUCAUGCACGAAA